UCGGGAAUUUUGGGCAAUGGGCGAAAGCCUGACCCAGCAACGCCGCGUGAAGGAUGAAGUAUUUCGGUAUGUAAACUUCGAAAGAAUAGGAAGAAUAAAUGACGGUACUAUUUAUAAGGUCCGGCUAACUACGUGCCAGCAGCCGCGGUAAUACGUAGGGACCAAGCGUUAAUCGGAAUUAUUGGGCGUAAAGGGUGCGUAGGUUGUUUGAUAAGAUAUAUGUGAAAUACCUGGGCUCAACCUGGGAAGGUCAUAUAAGACUGUCAGACUCGAGUAUGGGAGAGGGUAGAGGAAUUUCCGGUGUAGCGGUGAAAUGCGUAGAUAUCGGAAGGAACAUCGGUGGCGAAGGCGUCUACCUGGCCUAAUACUGACACUGAGGCACGAAAGCGUGGGGAGCAAACAGGAUUAGAUACCCACGUAGUCCCUGAGCGGGCUGGCAAGGCGCAU
Molecule: ribosomal RNA, 447 nt
Filed under: uncultured bacterium
Lineage: Bacteria
Description: bacterial SSU rRNA
Rfam family: Bacterial small subunit ribosomal RNA
Source: RNAcentral